CGGUGGUAAAAUCCAUGUGAAGCUUCAAUAUUUUGGUGUGACAAAGGACCGCAACUGGGCCCGUGGUAUCGUAAGUCGUAAGUUUCCUGGAGUUCCCUAUACGUUUUAUCCGCAGAGAAAAGGGUGUAAAGUUUCUCUGUACCAGGAUGCUCAUAUCCCAGACGGAUUUGUUCCUAAAAUUCCUCUUGCUGGAGGCAAGAAUUAUGAGCCACAUAGAUGCUGGGAAGAUAUUUUUGAUGCUAUCACCAACGCUAAACACAUGAUCUACAUUACUGGUUGGUCUGUUUAUACUGAGAUCAGUUUGGUGAGAGACUCAAGAAGGCCAAAGCCUGGGGGUGACAUCACUAUUGGUGAAUUGCUGAAAAAGAAAGCAAGUGAAGGUGUCAGGGUUAAUAUGCUUGUUUGGGAUGAUAGAACUUCUGUUGGAUUGCUGAAGAAGGAUGGGUUAAUGGCCACCCAUGAUGAGGAAACUGAACAAUUCUUCAAGG
This 488-nucleotide long non-coding RNA is filed under the name Gossypium barbadense (sea-island cotton). RNAcentral's name for it is "long non-coding RNA (GBAR_LNC019714)". Lineage: Eukaryota; Viridiplantae; Streptophyta; Magnoliopsida; Malvales; Malvaceae. The record is from RNAcentral.